CCCAGCCUACAGCCAGCACCAACCUACCAACCAUGGCUUUUCUCAAGGUCACACAACCAGAAAGUGAUGGAAGCAGACGUUGGCCUGACAGCAAUUUUCCCCACUUGCCUCAUCCCAUAGCAAUUCUUAGAGAACAAGAUCGCGACCCAGCCUUCGUUGCAGGGAGGGCAGCCACGUGGCUCAUUCUGGCCAAUGAGAUGAAGAUGGAAGUUCCUAUGGAGGGUCCACUUCCUCAGAUGAAAUGGCCGUCUCCUGAGAAGGCUUUGCCCUUUACCUUCACCGUCUUUCUGCCUGGAAUGGAGAUGCAGUUCCUGGUGGAGCAGCCAUCUUGAUGCCAUGAGGACAAAGCUCACAUGCUCAGGAGGGCAGAGUGAGACGCCAGAGCAGCUGGGUCCCCGAUGUUCUCCUUGAGCAGCCACACUGGCCCCUGAU
Molecule: long non-coding RNA, 432 nt
Organism: Myotis davidii
Lineage: Eukaryota; Metazoa; Chordata; Mammalia; Chiroptera; Vespertilionidae
Exons: 3
Source: RefSeq, a predicted model, not a curated record